AUAUGGUACAGAUACUUCAGGAAUCUAUACAGAUACUUUAGUGUGUUCCUUGGUCUAAAAUAAUCUAGGACUGACAAAAUGACCUUGCCCACAACCCUGUCUAGCAGCAUCAGCUAUCAGCUGCUUUGAAGGGAGUCCUGACAACGCUAAUGGAAUAGCGGCUUCGCUGCAACCAGCUAUGCUGCCUCAAAUAUGGUUUAUCACUUUCCCAGAGGCUAAGAGCCAUGUGCAUACUGCAAAGAGCAAGAGGAGGAUUCUUGUCUCUCCAGCCAGCUGA
RNAcentral lists this long non-coding RNA (277 nucleotides) under Anas platyrhynchos platyrhynchos (common mallard). Its description in RNAcentral is "lncRNA (ENSAPLG00000027949.1)". Lineage: Eukaryota; Metazoa; Chordata; Aves; Anseriformes; Anatidae. The record is from RNAcentral.